GAUCCUGGCUCAGGAUGAACGCUGGCGGCGUGCUUAACACAUGCAAGUCGAACGGUGAAGGCGGAGCUUGCUCUGCUGGAUCAGUGGCGAACGGGUGAGUAACACGUGAGCAAUCUGCCCCUGACUCUGGGAUAAGCGCUGGAAACGGCGUCUAAUACUGGAUACGAGCUGCGAAGGCAUCUUCAGCAGCUGGAAAGAACUUCGGUCAGGGAUGAGCUCGCGGCCUAUCAGCUUGUUGGUGAGGUAAUGGCUCACCAAGGCGUCGACGGGUAGCCGGCCUGAGAGGGCGACCGGCCACACUGGGACUGAGACACGGCCCAGACUCCUACGGGAGGCAGCAGUGGGGAAUAUUGCACAAUGGGCGCAAGCCUGAUGCAGCAACGCCGCGUGAGGGAUGACGGCCUUCGGGUUGUAAACCUCUUUCAGUAGGGAAGAAGCGAAAGUGACGGUACCUACAGAAGAAGCACCGGCUAACUACGUG
This 481-nucleotide ribosomal RNA is filed under the name uncultured bacterium. Its description in RNAcentral is "bacterial SSU rRNA". It matches the Rfam family "Bacterial small subunit ribosomal RNA", at positions 15 to 507 of the family's 1533-position model. The record is from RNAcentral.